AUUGAACGCUGGCGGCAUGCUUUACACAUGCAAGUCGAACGGCAGCGCGGGCUUCGGCCUGGCGGCGAGUGGCGAACGGGUGAGUAAUGCAUCGGAACGUGCCCAGUAGUGGGGGAUAGCCCGGCGAAAGCCGGAUUAAUACCGCAUACGACCUGAGGGUGAAAGCGGGGGACCGAAAGGCCUCGCGCUAUUUGAGCGGCCGAUGUCGGAUUGGCUAGUUGGUGGGGGAAAGGCUUACCAAGGCGACGAUCCGUAGCUGGUCUGAGAGGACGACCAGCCACACUGGGACUGAGACACGGCCCAGACUCCUACGGGAGGCAGCAGUGGGGAAUUUUGGACAAUGGGGGCAACCCUGAUCCAGCCAUGCCGCGUGCGGGAAGAAGGCCUUCGGGUUGUAAACCGCUUUUGUUCGGGAAGAAAUCCUCUGGGCUAAUACCCCGGGGGGAUGACGGUACCGGAAGAAUAAGCACCGGCUAACUACGUG
RNAcentral lists this ribosomal RNA (484 nucleotides) under uncultured bacterium. RNAcentral's name for it is "partial 16S ribosomal RNA". It matches the Rfam family "Bacterial small subunit ribosomal RNA", at positions 28 to 507 of the family's 1533-position model. The record is from RNAcentral.